CCUACGGGUGGCAGCAGUCGAGAAUCAUUCACAAUGGGGGAAACCCUGAUGGUGCGACGCCGCGUGGGGGAAUGAAGGUCUUCGGAUUGUAAACCUCUGUCAUGUGGGAGCAAAUUAAAAAGAUAGUACCACAAGAGGAAGAGACGGCGAACUAUGUGCCAGCAGCCGCGGUAAUACAGAGGUCUCAAGAGUUGUUCGGAAUCACUGGGCGUAAAGCGUGCGGAGGCUGGUUCGUUAGUAGAGUGUGAAAAGCGCGGGGUCAACCCGCGGACGGCACAUGAUACUGCGAGACUAGAGUAAUGGAGGGGGAAGCGGAAUGCUCGGUGUAGCAGUGAAAUGCGUAGAUAUCGAGAGGAACACUCGUGGCGAAGGCAGGUUCCUGGACAUUAACUGACGCUGAGGCACGAAGGCCAGGGGAGCGAAAGGGAUUAGAUACCCCUGUAGUC
This 446-nucleotide ribosomal RNA is filed under the name uncultured bacterium. Its description in RNAcentral is "partial 16S ribosomal RNA". It matches the Rfam family "Bacterial small subunit ribosomal RNA", at positions 338 to 795 of the family's 1533-position model. The record is from RNAcentral.